UUUUCUCUUCGUGGGUUGGGGGAGUAAAGAUAUUCUCACAUGGUCUUGGUCCCCUUUCUCUCUUUAUCACCAUGUAUACUCUCUAUAUCUUCUUAAUUAUUAAAUUACUUAAGAGCAUUUUAGGAGAACUUGAAAUAAUCUCUCGUGAGCAUCGGCUCAAUAUUCUGAACAAUGACAUCGUGGUUUGCAUUUUUCCUUUUGCCUGUUGUGGAGUUACCUUUUGAAGUUGACUUUCAAUACUGUUAUGAUGCAGGAUGAGUUACCUUUUGAAGUUGACUUUCAAUACUGUUAUGAUGCAGGAUACGUACAAAAGAUAACAGCUCUGACCUAUGACAAGUUUUUUGUGCCCCGGGAGUAUAUCUAAUUGUAACCAAUAAGUUCCCUGCAACUGUUAACAUUCUUCAUGUAGACUAGUCAUUACAUUUAAAGAGAGAGAAAAAGGAGAAUCUUCAAAAGGAGAAUUUGGAUAAGAAACUCAAGGAAUUCAUUGUAACUUUUGCAAAGAAUUAUUCUUUUCCCAAUUGUAUUCCAUUUUCUAUAACCACAGCUUUGUUCUUUGUUUAUCUUACGUGUCAGUUCAGAAUCUUGUGAUGUAUUU
This 598-nucleotide long non-coding RNA is filed under the name Populus trichocarpa (black cottonwood). RNAcentral describes it as "long non-coding RNA (PTRI_LNC002341)". Lineage: Eukaryota; Viridiplantae; Streptophyta; Magnoliopsida; Malpighiales; Salicaceae. The record is from RNAcentral.